CCUCCUUUUCUUUGUCAUGCAUGCAUAUUAAUUGAGGAUGGAGAAUAUCUACGCUUGUUCAGGCCAGCCAACAUACGACAGUUUACUUCAAGAGAGGAGACACGGGUUGAAUGCUGAAAACACGCACAGCCAAGCCCAGAUGCCAGUCUUGUUAGCUGCCUUCCUUUACCUUCAAGAGUGGGCUGAAGCUUGUCCAAUCUUUCAAGGUUGCUGAAGACUGUAUGAUGGAAGUCAUCUGCAUUGGGAAAGAAAUUAAUGGAGAGAGGAGAAAACUUGAGAAUCCACACUACUCACCCUGCAGGGCCAAGAACUCUGUCUCCCAUGCUUUGCUGUCCUGUCUCAGUAUUUCCUGUGACCACCUCCUUUUUCAACUGAAGACUUUGUACCUGAAGGGGUUCCCAGGUUUUUCACCUCGGCCCUUGUCAGGACUGAUCCUCUCAACUACUGACCAUUUCACCUCCAUUCAUGUCCAUGCCACAUCAGGCUGUGUUGUCUAGAUGGAAUGAAUCCACCCCAAAUGUCCCUUUCUGGAGGAAGCCACCAUUAUGCUGUACCUCCAAGCAUAAUGGUACGUCCACACACACCAGGGCACCUCGCUCAUGCAAGGUGCGUGUCCUCUAACAAAGUUUCACGCUCUAAACCCAGAUAACUUUUCAAACCCAAGUUCUGUUGAUUCCCCUACUUUGAGUGCUCCAUAGAUGCUCAUUUGUCUACUAAACACUGCCCCAGGCAAUUAAAUAUUCCAAAGUGACCAGCAGAAUUUUUAUGUUAAUU
This 774-nucleotide long non-coding RNA is filed under the name Homo sapiens (human). RNAcentral describes it as "novel transcript". The record is from RNAcentral. Lineage: Eukaryota; Metazoa; Chordata; Mammalia; Primates; Hominidae.